UGAUUCAUGAUAACUCCUCGAAUCGCAUGGCCUUGUGCCGGCGAUGGUUCAUUCAAAUUUCUUCCCUAUCAACUUUCGAUGUUUGGGUAUUGGCCAAACAUGGUUGCAACGGGUAACGGAGGGUUAGGGCUCGACCCCGGAGAAGGAGCCUGAGAAACGGCUACUACAUCCAAGGAAGGCAGCAGGCGCGCAAAUUACCCAAUCCCGACACGGGGAGGUAGUGACAAUAAAUACUGAUACAGGGCUCUUUUGGGUCUUGUAAUUGGAAUGAGUACAAUUUAAAUCCCUUAACGAGGAACAAUUGGAGGGCAAGUCUGGUGCCAGCAGCCGCGGUAAUUCCAGCUCCAAUAGCGUAUAUUAAAGUUGUUGUGGUUAAAAAGCUCGUAGUUGAACCUUGGGCCUGGCUGGCCGGUCCGCCUCACCGCGUGUACUGGUCCGGCCGGGCCUUUCCCUCUGUGGAACCCCAUGCCCUUCACUGGGUGUGGCGGGGAAACAGGACUUUUACUGUGAAAAAAUUAGAGUGCUCCAGGCAGGCCUAUGCUCGAAUACAUUAGCAUGGAAUAAUAGAAUAGGACGUGUGGUUCUAUUUUGUUGGUUUCUAGGACCGCCGUAAUGAUUAAUAGGGACAGUCGGGGGCAUCAGUAUUCAAUUGUCAGAGGUGAAAUUCUUGGAUUUAUUGAAGACUAACUACUGCGAAAGCAUUUGCCAAGGAUGUUUUCAUUAAUCAGGAACGAAAGUUAGGGGAUCGAAGACGAUCA
This 758-nucleotide ribosomal RNA is filed under the name Fusarium sambucinum. RNAcentral's name for it is "SSU rRNA". It matches the Rfam family "Eukaryotic small subunit ribosomal RNA", at positions 247 to 1010 of the family's 1831-position model. The record is from RNAcentral. Lineage: Eukaryota; Fungi; Ascomycota; Sordariomycetes; Hypocreales; Nectriaceae.